AACGAACGCUGGCGGCAUGCCUAACACAUGCAAGUCGAACGAGACCUUCGGGUCUAGUGGCGCACGGGUGCGUAACGCGUGGGAACCUGCCUUUAGGUUCGGAAUAACUCAGAGAAAUUUGAGCUAAUACCGGAUGAUGUCUUCGGACCAAAGAUUUAUCGCCUUUAGAUGGGCCCGCGUUGGAUUAGCUAGUUGGUGGGGUAAAGGCCUACCAAGGCGACGAUCCAUAGCUGGUCUGAGAGGAUGAUCAGCCACACUGGGACUGAGACACGGCCCAGACUCCUACGGGAGGCAGCAGUGGGGAAUAUUGGAAAAUGGGCGAAAGCAUGAACCAGCAAUGACGCGUGAGUGAUGAAGGCCUUAGGGUAGUAAAGCUCUUUUACCCGAGAUGAUAAUGACAGUAGCGGGAGAAUAAGCUCCGGCUAACUCCGUG
This 433-nucleotide ribosomal RNA is filed under the name uncultured bacterium. RNAcentral's name for it is "partial 16S ribosomal RNA". It matches the Rfam family "Bacterial small subunit ribosomal RNA", at positions 29 to 507 of the family's 1533-position model. The record is from RNAcentral.